UACGUAGGGUGCGAGCGUUGUCCGGAAUUAUUGGGCGUAAAGAGCUCGUAGGCGGUUUGUCGCGUCGGCCGUGAAAUCUCCACGCUUAACGUGGAGCGUGCGGUCGAUACGGGCAGACUUGAGUUCGGCAGGGGAGACUGGAAUUCCUGGUGUAGCGGUGAAAUGCGCAGAUAUCAGGAGGAACACCGGUGGCGAAGGCGGCGACCUGGGUAGAUACUGACGCUGAGGUGCGAAAGCGUGGGGAGCAAACAGG
This 253-nucleotide ribosomal RNA is filed under the name uncultured bacterium. RNAcentral's name for it is "partial 16S ribosomal RNA". It matches the Rfam family "Bacterial small subunit ribosomal RNA", at positions 524 to 776 of the family's 1533-position model. The record is from RNAcentral.